UGGGAAUAUUGGAAAAAGGGGGGAACCCUGAAUCAGCCAUGCCGCGUGUGGGAAGAAGGCCUUAUGGUUGGAAAGCAAUUUAAGCGAGGAGGAGGGUACUGGUAUUAAUACUACCAGCUUCUGGACGGUACUCGCAGAAUAAGCAACGGCUAACUCUGUGCCAGCAGCCGCGGUAAUACAGAGGGUGCGAGCGUUAAUCGGAUUUAAUGGGCGUAAAGCGUGCGUAGGCGGCUAAUUGAGUCGGAUGUGAAAUCCCCGAGCUUAACUUGGGAAUUGCAUUCGAUACUGGUUAGCUAGAGUGUGGGAGAGGAUGGUAGAAUUCCAGGUGUAGCGGUGAAAUGCGUAGAGAUCUGGAGGAAUACCGAUGGCGAAGGCAGCCAUCUGGCCUAACACUGACGCUGAGGUGCGAAAGCGUGGGGAGCAAACAGG
Molecule: ribosomal RNA, 429 nt
Filed under: Pseudomonadota bacterium
Lineage: Bacteria; Pseudomonadati; Pseudomonadota
Description: Proteobacteria bacterium partial 16S ribosomal RNA
Rfam family: Bacterial small subunit ribosomal RNA
Source: RNAcentral